CGAGCCGACCGGGUGAUCGCGGCGCUGAUUCCCUCAGCGUCGAGGAAAGUCCGGGCUCCACAGGGCAGGGUGGUGGGUAACGCCCACCCGGGGCAACCCGCGGGAAAGUGCCACAGAAAGCAAACCGCCGACGGCAACGUCGGUAAGGGUGAAACGGCGGUGUAAGAGACCACCAGCACCGCAGGCGACUGCGGUGGCUCGGCAAACCCCACCCGGAGCUAGACCAAGCGGAUCGCAAGAUCCAGGCAGGAGAGCGGCCCGCUCGCCAAUCCUGCUGGUAGGUCGCACGAGGCCAUCGGCAACGGUGGUCCCAGAGGGAUGAUCACCCCUCGCUCACGCGAGGACAGAACCCGGCUUACAGGUCGACUCGUCCG
Molecule: RNase P RNA, 374 nt
Filed under: Actinomycetota bacterium
Lineage: Bacteria; Bacillati; Actinomycetota
Description: Actinobacteria bacterium (freshwater metagenome) RNase P RNA component class A
Rfam family: Bacterial RNase P class A
About the family: Ribonuclease P (RNase P) is a ubiquitous endoribonuclease, found in archaea, bacteria and eukarya as well as chloroplasts and mitochondria. Its best characterised activity is the generation of mature 5'-ends of tRNAs by cleaving the 5'-leader elements of precursor-tRNAs.
Source: RNAcentral